AAUGAGAGCUGUUAUUCAAUCAAAUAAUAAUAUAUAUAAUGAUCAACUGAUACAAUCUAUUCCUAUAUAACCAAAAAUCCACAAGCGCACCAUGUGCUGAUGCAAAUGAAGCCCUAUUGAUCUAAAUUCUUUGAUUUAUCAUCUUUUUUCUGGCUAGCAUGACUCUCUGGCUGCUCAACAGGAUUUUCAUCAGCCGGCCACUUCUGAAUACCCGAACUUCCUGCCACUUGUGCAGAACCUAAAUCCCAGAUAUCUGAGAAACCACCAGUUGAUCCUAACUCUGGCACAUCAUAGUUGACAAGAUUACCCCAUAACUCUUGGCUAGAACUAGACAUACCAGCUUGGUUGUCAAAUCCCAUGCUCCAUACAUCCUCUUGUUUCAUAAUGCUUUCAAUCCCAGUACAUGAGAAUUCCAGAAAAUUCUUCUCUGUUGCCAAAACCUCAGGGAAAGAAACGAAAUAUUCAGGAGCAACUUCUUGUUCUGGACUGAUAACAUUCUUUCCUUUAAUCUGGGGAUCUUCACUCCCCAAGUUUGAUUUGCCUUCUUGAAACUGCUCUGGAGUUUUGAUAUAUCCUUGGGCCAUUGCUAGUUCAUCUGACAUGGCAAACUCAUUAGAUGGAACAUUCUCAAGUUGAAAAGCCAUGCCUUCAACAUCUUUACCCAUUUCUACCAUCUCUUGUAAGAUGUAAUCUGGAGUUUGUUCAACAGGAGCAGGGUUUACAUCUGGGACUACAGCGGAUGAUGAUAGGUUUGUCCACUCAGGUCUGUACCUCACAAUCUGCCCUUCCAUAGGUGAUUCAGAUUGUCCUGGCUCAUGGUGCUGUUGCUCGACAAACUUCCUUUUCAUCCUUGAUGAACCAAUAUCUCCCUGUUUCUUAUUUUGCCUAAGGCGGGCCAAGAA
This 902-nucleotide unclassified non-coding RNA is filed under the name Hevea brasiliensis (rubber tree). Lineage: Eukaryota; Viridiplantae; Streptophyta; Magnoliopsida; Malpighiales; Euphorbiaceae. The record is from RNAcentral.